GUGAGGAAUUUUCCGCAAUGGGCGAAAGCCUGACGGAGCAAUGCCGCGUGAAGGAUGAAGGCCUAUGGGUUGUAAACUUCUUUUCUCAGAAAAGAAUUAUGACGGUAUCUGAGGAAUAAGCAUCGGCUAACUCUGUGCCAGCAGCCGCGGUAAGACAGAGGAUGCAAGCGUUAUCCGGAAUGAUUGGGCGUAAAGCGUCUGUAGGUUGUUUAAAAAGUAUUCUGUCAAAGAUUAGGGCUUAACCCUAGAUAGGCAGAAUAAACUUUUAAGCUAGAGUUUGGUAGAGGCAGAGGUAAUUCCCGGUGGAGCGGUGAAAUGCGUAGAUAUCGGGAGGAACACCAAAGGCGAAGGCACUCUGCUGGGCCAAUACUAACACUGAGAGACGAAAGCGAGGGGAGCAAAUGGGAUUAGAAACCCUUGUAGUCC
RNAcentral lists this ribosomal RNA (426 nucleotides) under uncultured bacterium. RNAcentral's name for it is "bacterial SSU rRNA". It matches the Rfam family "Bacterial small subunit ribosomal RNA", at positions 354 to 796 of the family's 1533-position model. The record is from RNAcentral.